This 497-nucleotide ribosomal RNA is filed under the name uncultured bacterium. RNAcentral describes it as "partial 16S ribosomal RNA". It matches the Rfam family "Bacterial small subunit ribosomal RNA", at positions 28 to 507 of the family's 1533-position model. The record is from RNAcentral.
GAUGAACGCUGGCGGCGUGCCUAAUACAUGCAAGUCGAGCGAACAGACGAGGAGCUUGCUCCUCUGACGUUAGCGGCGGACGGGAGAGUAACACGUGGAUAACCUACCUAUAAGACUGGGAUAACUUCGGGAAACCGGAGCUAAUACCGGAUAAUAUAUUGAACCGCAUGGUUCAAUAGUGAAAGACGGUUUUGCUGUCACUUAUAGAUGGAUCCGCGCCGCAUUAGCUAGUUGGUAAGGUAACGGCUUACCAAGGCAACGAUGCGUAGCCGACCUGAGAGGGUGAACGGCGACACUGGGACUGAGACACGGUACAGACUCCUACGGGAGGCAGCAGUAGGGAAUCUUCCGCAAUGGGCGAAAGCCUGACGGAGCAACGCCGCGUGAGUGAUGAAGGUCUUCGGAUCGUAAAACUCUGUUAUGAGGGAAGAACAAAUGUGUAAGUAACUAUGCACGUCUUGACGGUACCUAAUCAAAAAGCAACGGCUAACUACGUG